Molecule: ribosomal RNA, 433 nt
Filed under: uncultured bacterium
Lineage: Bacteria
Description: partial 16S ribosomal RNA
Rfam family: Bacterial small subunit ribosomal RNA
Source: RNAcentral
AGCGAACGCUGGCGGCAGGCCUAACACAUGCAAGUCGAACGAACUCUUCGGAGUUAGUGGCGGACGGGUGAGUAACACGUGGGAACGUGCCUUUAGGUUCGGAAUAACUCAGGGAAACUUGUGCUAAUACCGAAUGUGCCCUUCGGGGGAAAGAUUUAUCGCCUUUAGAGCGGCCCGCGUCUGAUUAGCUAGUUGGUGAGGUAAAGGCUCACCAAGGCGACGAUCAGUAGCUGGUCUGAGAGGAUGAUCAGCCACAUUGGGACUGAGACACGGCCCAAACUCCUACGGGAAGCAGCAGUGGGGAAUCUUGCGCAAUGGGCGAAAGCCUGACGCAGCCAUGCCGCGUGAAUGAUGAAGGUCUUAGGAUUGUAAAAUUCUUUCACCGGGGACGACAAUGACGGUACCCGGAGAAGAAGCCCCGGCUAACUUCGUG